Molecule: long non-coding RNA, 1102 nt
Organism: Phyllostomus discolor (pale spear-nosed bat)
Lineage: Eukaryota; Metazoa; Chordata; Mammalia; Chiroptera; Phyllostomidae
Exons: 3
Source: RefSeq, a predicted model, not a curated record
CAGAGAAACAAUUGCAAACACAAAGAAAUAAAAUGAGUAAUGGGAUAGAGUUUCAUGGCGAUUUCGCUGGGAUGACUAGACAGCUCUCUGCAGGAGGUGGCUUUAAGCUGGCCGGACCCACAGUGGGAGCAGGUGUAAGACUGGAUUUUAGAAAAUGGCUUUGUUGUAAUAAAGUAGUCUGCAGUUGGAGAUUGUGGAGAUUCCUCCAUCAUCUACUGUAUGUAAAGGAAAGUGGAUUAUGUUUGGAAGCAUCAAGCUCACCGGCCGAUGUUUUGGAAAGCACUGAGGACCAUGCCAUGAGCCCGGUCCUGCCAAUACCUUGCUGGGUUAGUCACACAAUGUAUAUGUCUGUGAAGAAUGGAAUCCUUGGCCAUUGGUUUAUCCUUUGGAAACGUGCCCACCAGUUCCAUGACAACUUCUGAAACUCAUAGAAAGAUGUGCAUUAAAAUGAAAGAAGUGGAGGAGAAGCAGAGACAGCACAAGAAGGCAGAAGCAGCCUGAGAGGUAUGUGGGGAGGUAUGUGGGUGUGUGGACCUUGGUUAAUGACUCAUUGGAAUCUCAAGGCUGAGUUAGUGCAUAAAAAGCCCUGAUUUUUUCCGAGCACCAGGCUACAGUGGCCACCUUCCUGCUUUGUUCCCCUAGGGGAGAACAGAUGUUCUGUCUCCACUGGAACCAUAACAGAACUGUUGAAGUCCUAGGGCAUUAGCUAUGCACAUUGCUAACUAUAAACACUUCUGUUAUGCAAUGAUAUAACUCAAGGUAGAAAAUUAAAAUCGACCAUCUCAUGUUCCAAUUGCCUAUCCUUUCCUUUAUCCUCAAAUUUAGUCUUAUGGAGCUUCUGCUCCUUUUAUUUAUUUAUUUAUUUAUUUAUUUAUUUAUUUAUUUAUUUAUUUUUUGAGUUUCGAAGCCCUCAGUGUGGCCCUCAGGGGCACUGACCACACUGGCUUUGGAUAAGGAACUUCUAUUUAAAUAAUUGCUCAAGCCUGUGCAGGGGUAUCCAACAUUUUGGUGUCUCUGGGCCACACUGGAAGAAGAGCUGUCUUGGGAUACAUGUUAAAUACAUUGCGACACACAAUUACAAAAAAAUCUCAUAAUAUUUUAA